UGAAAGGACACAUUUAUAACAUUAUGAACUAUAAAUAUCGACUCUCUUCAAAAUUUUAGUAGUGUACAUCCACAAUUGAAAGUGAAAUCAUGAAAUUACUAUUACUAAUACUAAUUGGGCUAGCGGUGGUUGCCUCAAAGGUCUCCGAUGAAAUAAUCGAAAAGUGGGAAAAUAAGAUAUCUGGAUUCAAGGAUAAAUGCCUAACCGCACACGGAGCAGAUAAGGAGAUUAUUCACAACAUUA
Molecule: long non-coding RNA, 243 nt
Organism: Photinus pyralis (common eastern firefly)
Lineage: Eukaryota; Metazoa; Arthropoda; Insecta; Coleoptera; Lampyridae
Exons: 2
Source: RefSeq, a predicted model, not a curated record